This 609-nucleotide ribosomal RNA is filed under the name uncultured bacterium. RNAcentral's name for it is "bacterial SSU rRNA". It matches the Rfam family "Bacterial small subunit ribosomal RNA", at positions 60 to 663 of the family's 1533-position model. The record is from RNAcentral.
AGUCGAGCGAGAAGACGUAGCAAUACGUUUGUAAAGCGGCGAACGGGUGAGGAAUACAUGGGUAACCUACCCUCGAGUGGGGAAUAACUAGCCGAAAGGUUAGCUAAUACCGCAUACGGCUCCUGGUCUGCGGAUCGGGAGAGAAAGCGAUACCGUGGGUAUCGCGCUCUUGGAUGGGCUCAUGUCCUAUCAGCUUGUUGGUGAGGUAACGGCUCACCAAGGCUUCGACGGGUAGCUGGUCUGAGAGGACGAUCAGCCACACUGGCACUGCGACACGGGCCAGACUCCUACGGGAGGCAGCAGUAAGGAAUAUUGCGCAAUGGGCGACAGCCUGACGCAGCGACGCCGCGUGGGGGAUGAAGGUCUUCGGAUUGUAAACCCCUUUCGGCAGGGAAGAUGGAACGGGUAACCGUUCGGACGGUACCUGUAGAAGCAGCCACGGCUAACUUCGUGCCAGCAGCCGCGGUAAUACGAAGGUGGCAAGCGUUGUUCGGAUUUACUGGGCGUACAGGGAGCGUAGGCGGUUGGGUAAGCCCUCCGUGAAAUCUCCGGGCCUAACCCGGAAAGUGCGGAGGGGACUGCUCGGCUAGAGGAUGGGAGAGGAGUGCG